GAUGAACGCUGGCGGCGUGCCUAAUACAUGCCAGUCGAGCGAACAGACGAGGAGCUUGCUCCUCUGACGUUAGCGGCGGACGGGUGAGUAACACGUGGAUAACCUACCUAUAAGACUGGGAUAACUUCGGGAAACCGGAGCUAAUACCGGAUAAUAUAUUGAACCGCAUGGUUCAAUAGUGAAAGACGGUUUUGCUGUCACUUAUAGAUGGAUCCGCGCCGCAUUAGCUAGUUGGUAAGGUAACGGCUUACCAAGGCAACGAUGCGUAGCCGACCUGAGAGGGGGAACGUCCACACUGGAACGGAGACACGGUCCAGACUCCUACGGGAUGCAGCAGUAGGGAAUCUUCCGCAAUGGGCGAAAGCCUGACGGAGCAACGCCGCGUGAGUGAUGAAGGUCUUCGGAUCGUAAAACUCUGUUAUUAGGGAAGAACAAAUGUGUAAGUAACUAUGCACGUCUUGACGGUACCUAAGCAGAAAGCCACGGCUAACUACGUG
RNAcentral lists this ribosomal RNA (497 nucleotides) under uncultured bacterium. RNAcentral's name for it is "partial 16S ribosomal RNA". It matches the Rfam family "Bacterial small subunit ribosomal RNA", at positions 28 to 507 of the family's 1533-position model. The record is from RNAcentral.